CAGAGUUGCAAAACUCCCAACCCUUUGUGAACGAACCUAGCAGUUGCUUCGGCGGAAGGCCCUUUAGGGGGCGGCCCGCCGAAGGUUUACAAACUCUUGUUUUUUGGCAUCUCUGAGUAGCUUAUACAAUAAGUCA
This 136-nucleotide unclassified non-coding RNA is filed under the name uncultured Sordariales. RNAcentral describes it as "sequence contains ITS1". Lineage: Eukaryota; Fungi; Ascomycota; Sordariomycetes; Sordariales. The record is from RNAcentral.